Engraulis encrasicolus (European anchovy) is the source of this 850-nucleotide long non-coding RNA. RefSeq lists it as uncharacterized. The transcript has 7 exons. The record is from RefSeq and is a predicted model, not a curated record. NCBI's taxonomy places the organism in Eukaryota, Metazoa, Chordata, Actinopteri, Clupeiformes, Engraulidae.
CUCUGCUACUACACCAAUGAUGUCAUUUUAUUGCGACCACUCUCUGGAUUGUGGAUUUUACGGACUGCAUUCCCAUGUACUGGGUUUAGCUGGACCGUAUUGGACUGGAGGUGACAGGAUAUUUUGUACCUGCUUCGGACUGGUUCUGUCAUUAACCUACUGAGCUGGUGCUUCUGUCCCAGGUAAAAUGUGUUUGAACUUACAUUUGCAUCUAUACAUGAAGUAGGCAGCCUAGAGCAGGAGGCGGGCGUCAGAUCAGAGGGUUGCAGGCAUCUCCAUCGCAUCGCUCCUAGGCAUCUGAAAGUGUACCGUUGCGCACAGAUCAUGCUGGUAACGAGUUAUUCAAAGGGUCUACCAAUCAUGGCAAAAACAGAAAUCCAGCUCCUCAGCCCAGGCAGUGCCAACAACCCAGCUGAUCCAGGAGCUGCAGCGAGGGGUAGUGAUGACACUCCGGGCACCCCGACUGCCCUCUUCAACCAUUCCCAUGGAAUUCAUCCUGUCCAGCCUCCGUCAGAUAAUCCAGCCCUCCCCCUCCUACUUCCAGAGACUAAUUUGCAGAUUCUAAUGGGUAUGUGCUAAGGAGAUGAUGAGUGAACACGCUGCCAGUUUGGUUGCAGUGUGUCACCGAAUUCCGUAGAUUCAUCAUCACUAUGUGGGGUGGAAGCUGCACAGACUACAACAAGGCUUCUGGGACCCCACUCCCCUCAAGCAAGACAUUUACCACCUGCUUCACCUAUGAAGGACUGAUUAUUGGCAGUGAUGUAUACCACAACGCAUACAAGCUGUUCAGCCUGCUGCCCUCCGGGUAGAGGUACAGGAGUAUCUGCUUCCGCAACUCCAGACUCGCCAA